This 74-nucleotide transfer RNA is filed under the name Rhizocola hellebori. It matches the Rfam family "tRNA". From Rfam's summary of the family: Transfer RNA (tRNA) molecules are approximately 80 nucleotides in length. Their secondary structure includes four short double-helical elements and three loops (D, anti-codon, and T loops). The record is from Rfam by way of RNAcentral. RNAcentral also lists the same sequence under 2 other names. Lineage: Bacteria; Bacillati; Actinomycetota; Actinomycetes; Micromonosporales; Micromonosporaceae.
GGGGAUGUGGCGCAGUCUGGUAGCGCACCUCGUUCGCAUCGAGGGGGUCAGGGGUUCGAGUCCCCUCAUCUCCA